This 495-nucleotide ribosomal RNA is filed under the name uncultured bacterium. RNAcentral describes it as "partial 16S ribosomal RNA". It matches the Rfam family "Bacterial small subunit ribosomal RNA", at positions 28 to 507 of the family's 1533-position model. The record is from RNAcentral.
GACGAACGCUGGCGGCGUGCCUAAUACAUGCAAGUAGAACGCUGAAGGUGGAGCUUGCUCUUCUGGAUGAGUUGCUAACGGUUGAGUAACGCGUAGUUAACCUUCCUGGUAGUGGGGGAUAACUAUUGGAAACGAUAGCUAAUACCGCAUAAUAGUAGAUGUUGCAUGACAUUUGCUUAAAAGUUGCAAUUGCAUCACUACCAGAUGGACCUGCGUUGUAUUAGCUAGUUGGUGGGGUAACGGCUCACCAAGGCGACGAUACAUAGCCGACCUGGGAGGGUGAUCGGCCACACUGGGACUGAGACACGGCCCAGACUCCUACGGGAGGCAGCAGUAGGGAAUCUUCGGCAAUGGACGGAAGUCUGACCGAGCAACGCCGCGUGAGUGAAGAAGGGUUUCGGAUCGUAAAGCUCUGUUGUAAGAGAAGAACGAGUGUGAGAGUGGAAAGUUCACACUGUGACGGUAUCUUACCAGAAAGGGACGGCUAACUACGUG